This 446-nucleotide ribosomal RNA is filed under the name uncultured bacterium. RNAcentral's name for it is "bacterial SSU rRNA". It matches the Rfam family "Bacterial small subunit ribosomal RNA", at positions 338 to 795 of the family's 1533-position model. The record is from RNAcentral.
CCUACGGGUGGCAGCAGUGGGGAAUAUUGCACAAUGGGCGCAAGCCUGAUGCAGCGACGCCGCGUGGGGGAUGACGGCCUUCGGGUUGUAAACUCCUUUCGCAACCGACGAAGCUUUUGUGACGGUAGGUUGAGAAGAAGCACCGGCUAACUACGUGCCAGCAGCCGCGGUAAUACGUAGGGUGCGAGCGUUGUCCGGAAUUACUGGGCGUAAAGAGCUCGUAGGUGGUUUGUCGCGUCGUUUGUGGAAUACCGCAGCUUAACUGCGGGGUUGCAGGCGAUACGGGCAUAACUUGAGUGCUGUAGGGGAGACUGGAAUUCCUGGUGUAGCGGUGGAAUGCGCAGAUAUCAGGAGGAACACCGAUGGUGAAGGCAGGUCUCUGGGCAGUAACUGACGCUGAGGAGCGAAAGCAUGGGGAGCGAACAGGAUUAGAUACCCUUGUAGUC